Molecule: ribosomal RNA, 497 nt
Filed under: uncultured bacterium
Lineage: Bacteria
Description: partial 16S ribosomal RNA
Rfam family: Bacterial small subunit ribosomal RNA
Source: RNAcentral
GAUGAACGCUGGCGGCGUGCCUAAUACAUGCCAGUCGAGCGAACGGACGAGAAGCUUGCUUCUCUGAUGUUAGCGGCGGACGGGUGAGUAACACGUGGAUAACCUACCUAUAAGACUGGGAUAACUUCGGGAAACCGGAGCUAAUACCGGAUAAUAUUUUGAACCGCAUGGUUCAAAAGUGAAAGACGGUCUUGCUGUCACUUAUAGAUGGAUCCGCGCUGCAUUAGCUAGUUGGUAAGGUAACGGCUUACCAAGGCAACGAUGCAUAGCCGACCUGAGAGGGUGAUCGGCCACACUGGAACUGAGACACGGUCCAGACUCCUACGGGAGGCAGCAGUAGGGAAUCUUCCGCAAUGGGCGAAAGCCUGACGGAGCAACGCCGCGUGAGUGAUGAAGGUCUUCGGAUCGUAAAACUCUGUUAUUAGGGAAGAACAUAUGUGUAAGUAACUGUGCACAUCUUGACGGUACCUAAUCAGAAAGCUACGGCUAACUACGUG